This 511-nucleotide small RNA is filed under the name uncultured Glomus. Its description in RNAcentral is "SSU rRNA". It matches the Rfam family "Eukaryotic small subunit ribosomal RNA", at positions 569 to 1081 of the family's 1831-position model. Lineage: Eukaryota; Fungi; Glomeromycota; Glomeromycetes; Glomerales; Glomeraceae. The record is from RNAcentral.
AGCAGCCGCGGUAAUUCCAGCUCCAAUAGCGUAUAUUAAAGUUGUUGCAGUUAAAAAGCUCGUAGUUGAAUUUCGGGGUCAGCAGGUUGGUCGUGCCAAUGGUAUGCACUGGCCUUGCUGAUUCCUCCCUCUUGAUGAGCCGUAAUGCCAUUAAUUUGGUGUUGCGGGGAAUCAGGACUGUUACUUUGAAAAAAUUAGAGUGUUUAAAGCAGGCAAGCGCUUGAAUACAUUAGCAUGGAAUAAUGAAAUAGGACGUUCGAUCCUAUUUUGUUGGUUUCUAGGAUUGACGUAAUGAUUAAUAGGGAUAGUUGGGGGCAUUAGUAUUCAAUUGUCAGAGGUGAAAUUCUUGGAUUUAUUGAAGACUAACUACUGCGAAAGCAUUUGCCAAGGAUGUUUUCAUUAAUCAAGAACGAAAGUUAGGGGAUCGAAGACGAUCAGAUACCGUCGUAGUCUUAACCAUAAACUAUGCCGACUAGGGAUCGGAUGAUGUUAAUUUUUUAAUGACUCAUUC